RNAcentral lists this ribosomal RNA (2906 nucleotides) under Enterobacter ludwigii. RNAcentral describes it as "23S ribosomal RNA". It matches the Rfam family "Bacterial large subunit ribosomal RNA". Lineage: Bacteria; Pseudomonadati; Pseudomonadota; Gammaproteobacteria; Enterobacterales; Enterobacteriaceae. The record is from RNAcentral.
GGUUAAGCGACUAAGCGUACACGGUGGAUGCCCUGGCAGUCAGAGGCGAUGAAGGACGUGCUAAUCUGCGAAAAGCGCCGGCGAGGUGAUAUGAACCUUUGACCCGGCGAUGUCCGAAUGGGGAAACCCAGUGUGUUCCGACACACUAUCGUUAACUGAAUACAUAGGUUAACGAGGCAAACCGGGGGAACUGAAACAUCUAAGUACCCCGAGGAAAAGAAAUCAACCGAGAUUCCCCCAGUAGCGGCGAGCGAACGGGGAGCAGCCCAGAGUCUGAAUCAGCUUGUGUGUUAGUGGAAGCGUCUGGAAAGUCGCACGGUACAGGGUGACAGUCCCGUACACGAAAGCACACAGGCUGUGAACUCGAAGAGUAGGGCGGGACACGUGGUAUCCUGUCUGAAUAUGGGGGGACCAUCCUCCAAGGCUAAAUACUCCUGACUGACCGAUAGUGAACCAGUACCGUGAGGGAAAGGCGAAAAGAACCCCGGCGAGGGGAGUGAAAAAGAACCUGAAACCGUGUACGUACAAGCAGUGGGAGCCUCUUUUAUGGGGUGACUGCGUACCUUUUGUAUAAUGGGUCAGCGACUUAUAUUCUGUAGCAAGGUUAACCGUAUAGGGGAGCCGAAGGGAAACCGAGUCUUAACUGGGCGUUAAGUUGCAGGGUAUAGACCCGAAACCCGGUGAUCUAGCCAUGGGCAGGUUGAAGGUUGGGUAACACUAACUGGAGGACCGAACCGACUAAUGUUGAAAAAUUAGCGGAUGACUUGUGGCUGGGGGUGAAAGGCCAAUCAAACCGGGAGAUAGCUGGUUCUCCCCGAAAGCUAUUUAGGUAGCGCCUCGUGAAUUCAUCUUCGGGGGUAGAGCACUGUUUCGGCUAGGGGGCCAUCCCGGCUUACCAACCCGAUGCAAACUACGAAUACCGAAGAAUGUUAUCACGGGAGACACACGGCGGGUGCUAACGUCCGUCGUGAAGAGGGAAACAACCCAGACCGCCAGCUAAGGUCCCAAAGUCAUGGUUAAGUGGGAAACGAUGUGGGAAGGCACAGACAGCCAGGAUGUUGGCUUAGAAGCAGCCAUCAUUUAAAGAAAGCGUAAUAGCUCACUGGUCGAGUCGGCCUGCGCGGAAGAUGUAACGGGGCUAAACCAUGCACCGAAGCUGCGGCAGCGACACUAUGUGUUGUUGGGUAGGGGAGCGUUCUGUAAGCCGUUGAAGGUGUCCUGUGAGGGGUGCUGGAGGUAUCAGAAGUGCGAAUGCUGACAUAAGUAACGAUAAAGCGGGUGAAAAGCCCGCUCGCCGGAAGACCAAGGGUUCCUGUCCAACGUUAAUCGGGGCAGGGUGAGUCGACCCCUAAGGCGAGGCCGAAAGGCGUAGUCGAUGGGAAACAGGUUAAUAUUCCUGUACUUGGUGUUACUGCGAAGGGGGGACGGAGAAGGCUAUGUUAGCCGGGCGACGGUUGUCCCGGUUUAAGCAUGUAGGCGGAACGAUUAGGUAAAUCCGGUCGUUUAUUAACGCUGAGGUGUGAUGACGAGGCACUACGGUGCUGAAGUAACAAAUGCCCUGCUUCCAGGAAAAGCCUCUAAGCAUCAGGUAACACGAAAUCGUACCCCAAACCGACACAGGUGGUCAGGUAGAGAAUACCAAGGCGCUUGAGAGAACUCGGGUGAAGGAACUAGGCAAAAUGGUGCCGUAACUUCGGGAGAAGGCACGCUGAUAUGUAGGUGAAGCCCCUGCGGGUGGAGCUGAAAUCAGUCGAAGAUACCAGCUGGCUGCAACUGUUUAUUAAAAACACAGCACUGUGCAAACACGAAAGUGGACGUAUACGGUGUGACGCCUGCCCGGUGCCGGAAGGUUAAUUGAUGGGGUUAGCGGUAACGCGAAGCUCUUGAUCGAAGCCCCGGUAAACGGCGGCCGUAACUAUAACGGUCCUAAGGUAGCGAAAUUCCUUGUCGGGUAAGUUCCGACCUGCACGAAUGGCGUAAUGAUGGCCAGGCUGUCUCCACCCGAGACUCAGUGAAAUUGAACUCGCUGUGAAGAUGCAGUGUACCCGCGGCAAGACGGAAAGACCCCGUGAACCUUUACUAUAGCUUGACACUGAACACUGGUCCUUGAUGUGUAGGAUAGGUGGGAGGCUUUGAAGCGUGGACGCCAGUCUGCGUGGAGCCAACCUUGAAAUACCACCCUUUAAUGGCUGGUGUUCUAACGUAGACCCGUAAUCCGGGUUGCGGACAGUGUCUGGUGGGUAGUUUGACUGGGGCGGUCUCCUCCCAAAGAGUAACGGAGGAGCACGAAGGUUAGCUAAUCCUGGUCGGACAUCAGGAGGUUAGUGCAAUGGCAUAAGCUAGCUUGACUGCGAGAGUGACGGCUCGAGCAGGUGCGAAAGCAGGUCAUAGUGAUCCGGUGGUUCUGAAUGGAAGGGCCAUCGCUCAACGGAUAAAAGGUACUCCGGGGAUAACAGGCUGAUACCGCCCAAGAGUUCAUAUCGACGGCGGUGUUUGGCACCUCGAUGUCGGCUCAUCACAUCCUGGGGCUGAAGUAGGUCCCAAGGGUAUGGCUGUUCGCCAUUUAAAGUGGUACGCGAGCUGGGUUUAGAACGUCGUGAGACAGUUCGGUCCCUAUCUGCCGUGGGCGCUGGAGAAUUGAGGGGGGCUGCUCCUAGUACGAGAGGACCGGAGUGGACGCAUCACUGGUGUUCGGGUUGUCAUGCCAAUGGCACUGCCCGGUAGCUAAAUGCGGAAGAGAUAAGUGCUGAAAGCAUCUAAGCACGAAACUUGCCCCGAGAUGAGUUCUCCCUGAGACUUUAAGUCUCCUGAAGGAACGUUGAAGACUACGACGUUGAUAGGUCGGGUGUGUAAGCGCAGCGAUGCGUUGAGCUAACCGAUACUAAUGAACCGUGAGGCUUAACCUU